This 148-nucleotide non-coding RNA is filed under the name Nomascus leucogenys (northern white-cheeked gibbon). Lineage: Eukaryota; Metazoa; Chordata; Mammalia; Primates; Hylobatidae. The record is from Rfam by way of RNAcentral.
GCCGGGCGUGGUGGUGCAUGCCUGUAGUCCCAACUACUCAGGAGGCUGAGGCAGGAGAAUCGCUUGAACCCGGGAGGCGGAGGCUGCAGUGAGCCAAGAUCCUGACACUGCACUCCAGCCUGGGUGACAGAGUGAGACUCCGUCUCAA